Molecule: long non-coding RNA, 302 nt
Filed under: Coffea arabica (coffee)
Lineage: Eukaryota; Viridiplantae; Streptophyta; Magnoliopsida; Gentianales; Rubiaceae
Description: long non-coding RNA (CARA_LNC006827)
Source: RNAcentral
GUCUCUAAUCUUUAUAGUUUCUUAAUUAUUGUAAGGAUCAAAGACAACCUAAGAGGAGAGGGUGAAUUAGGUAGUUUUAAAAACUGGUCAAGUUGUGAGUCACUUUUUGAAUAUUUGCCCUCUUUUUCUAAAAGAUCACACAAUGGAACAAUUAAUGAGAAAGCACAAGUACUUGUGAGUAGAAGAGAUGAACAAUUUAUAUAGCAAGAUAGUAAGUAAAAGAGAAAGAAUAUCAAACCAAAUACCAAACUCCUCUUGAGUUUGAAUAUCACUUUAGUGAGCAAGUUUUUUCAAGUUGAUCA